ACAGGUAUGAUGAAAUUGGUAAACAUAUUAGAUUUAGAUUCUAAGUUACUUAAAUGUUGUUGAGGGUUCGAGUCCCUCUACCUGUA
RNAcentral lists this transfer RNA (86 nucleotides) under Melanothamnus gigas. RNAcentral's name for it is "tRNA-Leu". It matches the Rfam family "tRNA". Rfam says of the family: Transfer RNA (tRNA) molecules are approximately 80 nucleotides in length. Their secondary structure includes four short double-helical elements and three loops (D, anti-codon, and T loops). Further hydrogen bonds mediate the characteristic L-shaped molecular structure. tRNAs have two regions of fundamental functional importance: the anti-codon, which is responsible for specific mRNA codon recognition, and the 3' end, to which the tRNAs corresponding amino acid is attached (by aminoacyl-tRNA synthetases). tRNAs cope with the degeneracy of the genetic code in two manners: having more than one tRNA (with a specific anti-codon) for a particular amino acid; and 'wobble' base-pairing, i.e. permitting non-standard base-pairing at the 3rd anti-codon position. The record is from RNAcentral. Lineage: Eukaryota; Rhodophyta; Florideophyceae; Ceramiales; Rhodomelaceae.